GAUGAACGCUGGCGGCGUGCCUAAUACAUGCAAGUCGAGCGAACAGACGAGGAGCUUGCUCCUUUGACGUUAGCGGCGGACGGGUGAGUAACACGUAGGUAACCUACCUAUAAGACUGGGAUAACUUCGGGAAACCGGAGCUAAUACCGGAUAAUAUUUCGAACCGCAUGGUUCGAUAGUGAAAGAUGGCUUUGCUAUCACUUAUAGAUGGACCUGCGCCGUAUUAGCUAGUUGGUAAGGUAACGGCUUACCAAGGCAACGAUACGUAGCCGACCUGAGAGGGGGAUCGGCCACACUGGAACUGAGACACGGUCCAGACUCCUACGGGAGGCAGCAGUAGGGAAUCUUCCGCAAUGGGCGAAAGCCUGACGGAGCAACGCCGCGUGAGUGAUGAAGGGCUUCGGAUCGUAAAACUCUGUUAUGAGGGAAGAACAAACGUGUAAGUAACUGUGCACGUCUUGACGGUACCUAAUCAGAAAGCCACGGCUAACUACGU
RNAcentral lists this ribosomal RNA (496 nucleotides) under uncultured bacterium. RNAcentral describes it as "partial 16S ribosomal RNA". It matches the Rfam family "Bacterial small subunit ribosomal RNA", at positions 28 to 506 of the family's 1533-position model. The record is from RNAcentral.